CAAAUACAACAGCAACAAUAACCACAAGCUCCAUAAAAUACCAGGAGGGGAAAUCUUAAACCAGCUCCAAGUCCAGUCAAGUUUUUGCCAUAUUGUUUCUUUAAGAUGAUGCACUCAGCGCAGGUCUAAUGCCCCUUUGGCCAUGUUGCUACCCCUGAUAACCUCAAAGUCAAUUAAGAGAACUGCUUUAAAUGAGAAAGCCAAUUCUGAUGAGGUUUAUUCUGGGGAAGUUUCAGAACUCAUGUUUAUGUCCCUUUCUUCCUGUGAGCCUAAGGAUCUAUGCUUUGAAUAUUUGACCAAUUUUAGCAAAUUAAAUUUCAUUUGAUUAUCCUAUAGGAAGACACCUCCUUGUUUUCCUAGAAACUGCUAGUCUGUUAUGGGCAAAUUGAUGUAAAGACUUAUUUGCCUAUUGGAGAAAUAGACUGGUUCUUUAAUAAUUCAUGCCUUAUGUCCAGUUUUCUGACUGUCUUCAUAGACCUUCCUUUUAUGACAUUAUUAUUGUAGGUGUAGCAGGGUCCUGAAUAAUAUGUAACUCACAUCCAUCCUCUAGUGCCAAUAAAAGGCUUAGGAAAACUUUUCACCAACCCUAUAAUUUUCUAUGCUCGACCAAGUUGUGCUGGCCAUUGUGUACCAUGUAAUGCAACCAUAACAGAGUUAAGAUAGAAUGAAUAAGAAACAAAAAUGCUUCCCUUUAUUGGAGAUUGAUAAUAUUUGAGAUAACAUGCCCAAAUAGUGCACCCAGAAAAAUGAGCUCAUCCAUCAUGAAUCUUGCCAUGUUGUAAUUCAGGAUUACUCCUCAGAAUUAUAAGGCUAUUAUAGUCCAAGAGGUCUGGUUGCCAGAGAAUGAAUCCUCAGAGAACCUUAGAUAGCCCGAGUCAGAGGAAUCAUUCCUUGGCUGCUAAUCCACUGUGUCUAUAAUAGUUCAGCCCUGAUCCCUGACAUUAUGCUGCCUGAGUCACAUGCUCUCAGAGAAAAUGACUUCAGGUUUAAGUAGAAAGGUCAAAAGAGGACAGGGAGACAGGGAAACUUGGGGUUAGGCAGAUGCACUGUUUGGUCAGAUGUUAUAGGGACAGAUUAGGGAGAACUGACUCUGGCUUCUCCUUGAGGGAGCUCAGAAAUUCCUGAGAAUAAUGAUUAUACCUGUGGAGAAACCCAGUUGUACAUAAUUGGUUGUAGCAGACAGGAGACAGUCCAGCACUUCAGGCUUCAAACUUAUUCAGGAGAUUUGGUUCAUAGAAGAAUUUAUAUUAAAACCUUAAGUCUCAAUCUUUCCAUAUCCCAGGGUUAUCACCUUAAGAUACUAUGCUCAUCAGAGCCCUCGAGUUUAAUUAACAUUUUCCAAGGACAGGAAAAAUUAUUCCUCAUAUGAAAAUCAUCUCUUAGUGAUUUAUCUUCUUCAGCUGUUACAAAACAGUAUGUUACUUUGAUAUUUUUUUAAAAAUCUUGGAGAAUGCAUCUGAUCCAAGUUAAUAAUGCAUAGCAAUAUUUUUGGAUGAUGCUUGGAUUCAUUGCUCAUAUAAACUGAGCCCAGGCUCUACAUUACAUUAGGGUUUGUCAGGUGAUGUCCUUUCAGAGGGCACACAGCGCUCUUCCUCCUCUUUCCAGAGCAGAGGACAAGAUCUUGGUAAAAGCACAAGGCUUAUACAACUAAGAAGAAUUCUUUUGGCCCUUAUAAGAUUCUAAGCCUAUUAAACCAAAAUAGGAAUCAGGGCAUCACAUCAACUUUGUGAAAGCCCCAAGAAUUAUUCCUCUAUCUAAUACAGGGAAAAUGAAUUGCAGAACCUCAAUAAAAACAAACAUCCAUCAAUGUUGCCAUUCCCAUCUGAUCCCUCUUUCUGACCCAGCAGCAAUACCAAAGGAGUUUUGUGGAAGGGAAGCCUGGUUUCUCUAGUAUAAAUCUCAAAAGGUCAGGAAUGUGUUUCAGCUUCCAUCAGUAAACUCCUAUUAAUUCACCAGACAUAGGAUUUACCUAACCCUUUAGAAACUAUUUCUGUUACCCAUAGAUGCCCAGCUUGCCAGUCUAUGGCAAUGGAAAGCAUCCUGCCAGUUUAUACCAAAAAUAGAGCAGCACUCUCUCCUACCAGCCCAUUUGCUGGAGAUUUAACUCUUUCAAAGUGUUCUCCACCCUAUCUGAAACUUACUUCACUGAUGCUACCUUGUUAGGCUCUAUAAGAGAGCUCUCUCCUAUUUCUCAGCCUUUGAUCUUCAGGAAAGCUCUAUUAUCGUAGGCCCAGUUUUCUCCACUAAUGUCUACUAUUACUCCCACUUCAGUCUCAGGAAAGAGAAAUAUUUUCCCGUGGUCCAAAGAGGACAUUUUGAUAAUGUUCCCUAGUUUUUGGUGGGGUACAAUGUGGAUGCAAUACCUUUGGGGCCUACAGUUUGCUUACCUGAAGUCUCUCACAGAAUAUGCUGUUGGUUUCCUCUGAACUGCUGUUGUUCCUGCUGCGGUUCCUGAGGAAAACAGAAGCUCAGUGUUGCUGCUGCCCUGGGGACAGUUCAGCACUAGCACUGAUUGGCUUCAGGCCUCUCCAUACUUCAAAGUCCAGGACCAAAUUGGCCUCUAACACAGAGAAAGGCCAAAAUCCCUCCUACAGUCUGUAAUUUCAAUCCAUGUCCCACAUGGGGAUGAUCUGCUUCCCAGG
Molecule: long non-coding RNA, 2642 nt
Filed under: Marmota monax (woodchuck)
Lineage: Eukaryota; Metazoa; Chordata; Mammalia; Rodentia; Sciuridae
Source: RNAcentral